AAUAAGUAAAACAAUAUGUGUGAUUCCUUCCAAUUCCAUUUGCUUAGUUUAUUUUCAUCGUCCCUUAAAGAAAUUAAGAACAAGUGGCAUUGGAGGUAUCCCAUGUAAUGUUUUUUACUGUG
RNAcentral lists this microRNA precursor (122 nucleotides) under Populus trichocarpa (black cottonwood). RNAcentral's name for it is "miR7839 stem-loop (ptc-MIR7839)". Lineage: Eukaryota; Viridiplantae; Streptophyta; Magnoliopsida; Malpighiales; Salicaceae. The record is from miRBase by way of RNAcentral.